RNAcentral lists this non-coding RNA (27 nucleotides) under Bombyx mori (domestic silkworm). Lineage: Eukaryota; Metazoa; Arthropoda; Insecta; Lepidoptera; Bombycidae. The record is from RNAcentral.
UGAAUCUUUCAUUGUUGAGCCCUUGAC